RNAcentral lists this small RNA (3511 nucleotides) under Pan troglodytes (chimpanzee). Its description in RNAcentral is "retained intron". Lineage: Eukaryota; Metazoa; Chordata; Mammalia; Primates; Hominidae. The record is from RNAcentral.
GCCUUCCGCUCGUGGGAGUUCCGGAUGUUUAGCGUUACCAUGGAGCCUGGAGGUGCCCGCGAACGCUGCUUGUCGCCUGGGCAACCGGAGAGGACGAAGCAGGACCUAGGUGGCGGCGGUGGUACCGGCUGCAAUGGUGUCCAAUCCCGUGCAUGGCUUGCCCUUUCUUCCGGGCACGUCCUUUAAGGACUCUACGUUUUUGUAGAGACAGCAUCUUGUUGUCCAGGCUGGUCUCGAACUCUGGGGCUGAAGUGAUUCUCCCUCUUCAGCCUCCCAGAGUUCUGGGAUUAUAGGCACGAGCCACCAUGCCCAGCCUUAAUGUUGAAAACAGCCUUCCACAGAAGUCAGACGCUGGGCUACAGGAACGGCUAUGCAAUUGUUCGACGUCCAACAGUUGGGAUAGGCGGAGACCGGCUCCAGUUCAACCAGCUGUCCCAGGCUGAGCUGGAUGAGUUGGCCAGUAAGGCACCAGUCUUAACUUAUGGCCAACCUAAACAAGCCCCACCUGCGGAUUUUAUUCCUGCGCAUGUGGCCUUUGACAAAAAGGUACUGAAAUUUGAUGCCUAUUUCCAAGAAGAUGUUCCUAUGUCAACUGAGGAACAGUAUAGGAUCCGUCAAGUGAACAUUUACUAUUAUCUAGAAGAUGACAGCAUGUCUGUCAUAGAGCCUGUUGUAGAAAAUUCUGGAAUCCUUCAAGGCAAGUUAAUAAAACGCCAGCGGCUAGCCAAGAAUGACCGGGGUGACCAUUACCAUUGGAAAGACCUAAAUCGAGGAAUAAACAUCACAAUUUAUGGCAAAACUUUCCGCGUUGUUGACUGUGACCAAUUCACACAGGUAUUUUUAGAAAGCCAAGGAAUUGAAUUAAAUCCACCAGAGAAGAUGGCUCUUGAUCCUUACACUGAACUCCGAAAACAGCCUCUUCGUAAGUAUGUCACCCCAUCAGACUUUGAUCAACUCAAGCAAUUUCUCACCUUUGACAAACAGGUGAGUGACAUAGGAACCACAGUAGGCUUACUUAUUUCCAAAUGUGACCUACAUUUAUUGGCAAAAGGUUUGGGUAGCUGUAUUGGUAACUAUUUUGAAACAUUACAGCUAUAAUUGUACUGUUUGGACACAGUACUGUCUUUCUGCUUUCAUCAAGGGUUACAGGUACAGGAAUGCCUACAUUUCAUAUGGAGAUCCAAAGAAGAUCGUGGAGUUGCGGAGUUGUUUUCUGAACCUCACCAAACAUUUAAAUCUCAAAGCAAUUCCUGAGCUACAUCUGCUUCCCACCUUACGUUUCCAAUUGACAAUUUCUUUCCCUUAAAAUGAGCUAAUUUCAUAGACUCCUUUGUGAAACCAUAAAUCGAUUAUUAGGAAAUUUCAAAAAUAUGCAUACAUGUAGGUUGUAAUGUUAAAAUGUUUAAUUUCACAGAAGCCCCACUACAGAUGCUUCCUUGUUAAAUGUUAUAUUAAUAUUGGAGUCCAGAAUGUUCUGAGCGUUUUCCAACUCUGUUCCAGCCUUCCUAAUCCUCUCCCUUGUGAGCUGAUGUGUAUAAGCAGAUUUAAAUCCUUCCCUUUCUGUACUAAAGGGAGAAAGAAAAGGAAGAGAUCACCCUCAGUGCUUCUUUGCUGCUCCUUUUCUUUAGACAUUUAACCCCUUUUAGUUCAGAAAAUGUAAACUAGCACUAGCAUGGUCUUUUAAGGAUUUUGUUCAUAUCAGUCAUAAUCUGUUAUUAUUUUGUAUUUAAAGAUUGUGUUUAUUCCCACGAUUUGAAGAAGCCUAGCCAAAAAAAAAAAAAAAAAAAGAUUGUGUUUAUAUUAUUGCUAGAAGAUAUGUGUUGAUGGGACCAAAAAAAGACUGGUUAAUAAAUAAAAAUUUUUUCUAUACUAAUUAUAUAUAAACCAUAUUCACAUGUACCUUUAUUAAUAUAUAUAUACCACUAUGUAAAGAACUUCAUUGCUCUUUUAAUUUAGCUUCUCUUUUACUGACUAAUAUUUUGGAUCAAAGUGAGAUCUUCUUUUUUGGCACAAACUUAUAAUCCUAUUAUUUAAUUCUUUCCAGCUGCUGACAUAUAGUACAUAAUUUCAGAUGUUUUAGUAUGUUUGAUGAAUAUUUCUUUUUUUUUUCAAUUUACCCCAUCUGAAAUUACUUCAUAGUCUUUCCAGCUAGUCUUUCCAUCGUUGAUACAUAAUUGCCAAAGUAGCCAAGUUGAACUCCCUACUUUUAAGAUUCUUGAGUCACUACUUUGGAUUCUUCAAAGGUCCUUCGAUUCUAUGCAAUCUGGGAUGAUACAGACAGCAUGUAUGGUGAAUGUCGGACCUACAUCAUUCAUUACUAUCUUAUGGAUGAUACGGUGGAAAUUCGAGAGGUCCACGAACGGAAUGAUGGGAGAGAUCCUUUCCCACUCCUAAUGAACCGCCAGCGUAUGCCCAAAGUUUUGGUGGAAAAUGCAAAGAACUUCCCUCAGUGUGUGCUAGAAAUCUCUGACCAAGAAGUGUUGGAAUGGUAUACUGCUAAAGACUUCAUUGUUGGGAAGUCACUCACUAUCCUUGGGAGAACUUUCUUCAUUUAUGAUUGUGAUCCAUUUACUCGACGGUAUUACAAAGAGAAGUUUGGAAUCACUGAUUUACCACGUAUUGAUGUGAGCAAGCGGGAACCACCUCCAGUAAAACAGGAGUUGCCUCCUUAUAACGGUUUUGGACUAGUGGAAGAUUCUGCUCAGAAUUGUUUUGCUCUCAUUCCAAAAGCUCCAAAAAAAGAUGUUAUUAAAAUGCUGGUGAAUGAUAACAAGGUGCUUCGUUAUUUGGCUGUACUGGAAUCCCCCAUCCCAGAAGACAAAGACCGCAGAUUUGUCUUCUCUUACUUUCUAGCUACCGACAUGAUCAGUAUCUUUGAGCCUCCUGUUCGCAAUUCUGGUAUCAUUGGGGGCAAGUACCUUGGCAGGACUAAAGUUGUUAAACCAUACUCUACAGUGGACAACCCUGUCUACUAUGGCCCCAGUGACUUCUUCAUUGGUGCUGUGAUUGAAGUGUUUGGUCACCGGUUCAUCAUCCUUGAUACAGACGAGUAUGUUUUGAAAUACAUGGAGAGCAACGCUGCCCAGUAUUCACCAGAAGCACUCGCGUCAAUUCAGAACCAUGUCCGAAAGCGAGAAGCGCCUGCUCCAGAAGCAGAAAGCAAGCAAACUGAAAAGGAUCCAGGCGUGCAGGAAUUGGAAGCAUUAAUAGACACAAUUCAGAAGCAACUGAAAGAUCACUCAUGCAAAGACAACAUUCGUGAGGCAUUUCAAAUUUAUGACAAGGAAGCUUCAGGAUAUGUGGACAGAGACAUGUUCUUUAAAAUCUGUGAAUCGCUUAAUGUCCCAGUGGAUGACUCCUUGGUUAAGGAGUUAAUCAGGAUGUGCUCUCAUGGAGAAGGCAAGAUUAACUACUAUAACUUUGUUCGUGCUUUCUCAAACUGACCUGCUGAUGAGAAAAUGCAAGACAAUUUUUGAUAUUGGAACUAUGCUUUGAAAUACACCUUACACUC